AAAACUAUACUUUCAGGGAUCAUUUCUAUAGUUCUUUACUAGAGAAGUUCCUCUGAACGUGUAGGGCACCCGAACGGUCAAAAGUGUAACCCUACAGCUACACUUUUACCAGAUUAG
RNAcentral lists this small nucleolar RNA (117 nucleotides) under Erinaceus europaeus (western European hedgehog). Its description in RNAcentral is "Small nucleolar RNA U3 (ENSEEUG00000023213.1)". It matches the Rfam family "Small nucleolar RNA U3". From Rfam's summary of the family: Small nucleolar RNAs (snoRNAs) are involved in the processing and modification of rRNA in the nucleolus. There are two main classes of snoRNAs: the box C/D class, and the box H/ACA class. U3 snoRNA is a member of the box C/D class. Lineage: Eukaryota; Metazoa; Chordata; Mammalia; Eulipotyphla; Erinaceidae. The record is from RNAcentral.